This 426-nucleotide ribosomal RNA is filed under the name uncultured bacterium. Its description in RNAcentral is "partial 16S ribosomal RNA". It matches the Rfam family "Bacterial small subunit ribosomal RNA", at positions 354 to 796 of the family's 1533-position model. The record is from RNAcentral.
GUGGGGAAUAUUGCGCAAUGGGGGAAACCCUGACGCAGCAACGCCGCGUGAGUGAUGAAGGCUUUCGAGUCGUAAAACUCUGUCUUUGGGGACGAAUAAUGACGGUACCCAAGGAGGAAGCCCCGGCUAACUACGUGCCAGCAGCCGCGGUAAUACGUAGGGGGCAAGCGUUGUCCGGAAUCACUGGGCGUAAAGGGCGCGUAGGCGGUUUGUUAAGUCAGGUGUGAAAGUUUUCAGCUUAACUGGGAAAGUGAAAUUGAAACUAACUUACUUGAGUACUGGAGAGGUAAGCGGAAUUCCUAGUGUAGCGGUGAAAUGCGUAGAUAUUAGGAAGAACACCGGUGGCGAAGGCGGCUUACUGGACAGAGACUGACGCUGAGGCGCGAAAGCGUGGGGAGCGAACAGGAUUAGAAACCCGAGUAGUCC